GCCCUAGUAACGGCGAGUGAAGCGGCAACAGCUCAAAUUUGAAAUCUGGCGCAAGCCCGAGUUGUAAUUUGCAGAGGAUGCUUCGGGGCAGCGGCCGGUCUAAGUUCCUUGGAACAGGACGUCAUAGAGGGUGAGAAUCCCGUAUGCGACCGGUUGGCACCCCUUACGUAGCUCCUUCGACGAGUCGAGUUGUUUGGGAAUGCAGCUCUAAAUGGGAGGUAAAUUUCUUCUAAAGCUAAAUACCGGCCAGAGACCGAUAGCGCACAAGUAGAGUGAUCGAAAGAUGAAAAGCACUUUGGAAAGAGAGUUAAAAAGCACGUGAAAUUGUUGAAAGGGAAGCGCAAGCAACCAGACUUGUCGGCGGUGUUCCGCCGGUCUUCUGACCGGUCUACUCGCCGCCGGCAGGCCAGCAUCACUUGGGACCGCCGGAUAAAGGCCCGGGAAUGUAGCUCCUCGGAGUGUUAUAGCCCGGCGCACAAUACGGCGCGCCCCGAGUGAGGUCCGCGCUUCGGCUAGGAUGCUGGCGUAAUGGUCGUUUGCGGCCCGUCUUGAAACACGGACCAAGGAGUCUAACAUCUAUGCGAGUGUUCGGGUGUCAAACCCCUACGCGUAAUGAAAGUGAACGGAGGUGGGAACUUUAUUGUGCACCAUCGACCGAUCCUGAUGUUUAUUGUGCACCAUCGACCGAUCCUGAUGUCUUCGGAUGGAUUUGAGUAUGAGCAUAGCUGUUGGGACCCGAAAGAUGGUGAACUAUGCCUGAAUAGGGUGAAGCCAGAGGAAACUCUGGUG
Molecule: ribosomal RNA, 789 nt
Filed under: Neophaeothecoidea proteae
Lineage: Eukaryota; Fungi; Ascomycota; Dothideomycetes; Mycosphaerellales; Teratosphaeriaceae
Description: eukaryotic LSU rRNA
Rfam family: Eukaryotic large subunit ribosomal RNA
Source: RNAcentral